AGGACGAACGCUGGCGGCGUGCUUAACACAUGCAAGUCGAACGAGGUGCUUGCACCUAGUGGCGAACGGGUGAGUAACACGUGAGCAACCUGCCCUUGGCUCUGGGAUAGCCUCCGGAAACGGGGAUUAAUACCGGACAUGACCUUGGUCUGCAUGGACUGAGGUGGAAAGUUUUUCGGCCAGGGAUGGGCUCGCGGCCUAUCAGCUUGUUGGGGGGUAACGGCCCACCAAGGCGACGACGGGUA
RNAcentral lists this ribosomal RNA (245 nucleotides) under uncultured bacterium. Its description in RNAcentral is "partial small subunit ribosomal RNA". It matches the Rfam family "Bacterial small subunit ribosomal RNA", at positions 26 to 285 of the family's 1533-position model. The record is from RNAcentral.